CCCUGGCUCAGGACGAACGCGGGCGGCGUGCCUAAUACAUGCAAGUCGAGCGGAGUCUUGUUGGAAGCUUGCUUCCAACUUGGCUUAGCGGCGGACGGGUGAGUAACACGUAGGCAACCUACCCUUCAGACUGGGAUAACUACCGGAAACGGUAGCUAAUACCGGAUAAUUCCUUUCUUCUCAUGAAGAGAGGAUGAAAGGCGGAGCAAUCUGCUACUGAGGGAUGGGCCUGCGGCGCAUUAGCUAGUUGGUGGGGUAACGGCCCACCAAGGCGACGAUGCGUAGCCGACCUGAGAGGGUGAACGGCCACACUGGGACUGAGACACGGCCCAGACUCCUACGGGAGGCAGCAGUAGGGAAUCUUCCGCAAUGGGCGAAAGCCUGACGGAGCAACGCCGCGUGAGUGAUGAAGGUUUUCGGAUCGUAAAGCUCUGUUGCCAGGGAAGAACGUCCGGUAGAGUAACUGCUACCGGAGUGACGGUACCUGAGAAGAAAGCCCCGGCUAACUA
This 509-nucleotide ribosomal RNA is filed under the name Paenibacillaceae bacterium CL6.50. RNAcentral's name for it is "bacterial SSU rRNA". It matches the Rfam family "Bacterial small subunit ribosomal RNA", at positions 17 to 503 of the family's 1533-position model. Lineage: Bacteria; Bacillati; Bacillota; Bacilli; Caryophanales; Paenibacillaceae. The record is from RNAcentral.